This is a small nucleolar RNA of Tripterygium wilfordii, 103 nucleotides long. RefSeq annotates it as small nucleolar RNA snoR99. The record is from RefSeq and is a predicted model, not a curated record. The transcript has a single exon. NCBI's taxonomy places the organism in Eukaryota, Viridiplantae, Streptophyta, Magnoliopsida, Celastrales, Celastraceae.
UUGCUUCAGGGCUGAAUAUGUCCCUAAAAUCAAUCCAUCUGAUUCACUUUGUCGGCAGUCUCUGUUACUGGUUUCUUGCUGAUCAUUAGUUGGUGGGAUAUGU